Molecule: ribosomal RNA, 256 nt
Filed under: uncultured bacterium
Lineage: Bacteria
Description: partial 16S ribosomal RNA
Rfam family: Bacterial small subunit ribosomal RNA
Source: RNAcentral
CAGAGGUGGCAAGCGUUAUUCGGAUUCACUGGGCGUAAAGGGUGCGCAGGCGGCCAUGUGUGUCAGGUGUGAAAGCCCGAGGCUCAACCUCGGAAUUGCGCCUGAAACUACAUGGCUAGAGUACUGGAGAGGGUAGCGGAAUUCAUGGUGUAGCAGUGAAAGUGCGUAGAUAUCAUGAGGAACACCAGAGGCGAAGGCGGCUACCUGGACAGUUGACUGACGCUCGAGGCAACGAAAGCCGUGGGGAGCAAAAGGG